RNAcentral lists this ribosomal RNA (497 nucleotides) under uncultured bacterium. Its description in RNAcentral is "partial 16S ribosomal RNA". It matches the Rfam family "Bacterial small subunit ribosomal RNA", at positions 28 to 507 of the family's 1533-position model. The record is from RNAcentral.
GAUGAACCCUGGCGGCGUGCCUAAUACGUGCAAGUCGAGCGAACGGACGAGAAGCUUGCUUCUCUGAUGUUAGCGGCGGAAGGGUGAGUAAAACGUGGAUAACCUACCUAUAAGACUGGGAUAACUUCGGGAAACCGGAGCUAAUACCGGAUGAUAUUUUGAACCGCAUGGUUCAAAAGUGAAAGACGGUCUUGCUGUCACUUAUAGAUGGAUCCGCGCUGCAUUGGCUAGUUGGUAAGGUAACGGAUUACCAAGGCAACGAGGCAUAGCCGACCUGAGAGGGGGAACGGCCACACUGGAACUGCGACACGGUCCAGACUCCUACGGGGGGCAGCAGUAGGGAAUCUUCCGCAAUGGGCGAAAGCCUGACGGAGCAACGCCGCGUGAGUGAUGAAGGUCUUCGGAUCGUAAAACUCUGUUAUUAGGGAAGAACAUAUGUGUAAGUAACUGUGCACAUCUUGACGGUACCUAAUCAGAAAGCCACGGCUAACUACGUG